CGUAUCAACCCCCGAACUAUCCACCGCGUUCGGCCCGAACACAUUCACUACCGGGUGGUCCCGAUCAGAACCCUCCGGCAAAAACGCCUUCCACAUCCAGUCCGUCCGCUCUACGUUCACCAGCGGCACACUCUUCAGUCUCGUCUCCGAUUCCGUCCACUCCUCUCCACCGAAAAACGGCUGAAUUGCUAAGAUUCCGACCACGUUCAGAUCCCGAAACUCGUGCCCGCUCGCUAUGAUCGCCAAGUGGUGCGCUAUGUUCCCGCCGGCGCUGUCCCCGGCCAGAAAGCACUGCCCGAGAUUCGCGCCCUCGAACAAGCUGCUUUGACUGUCGUCGAUGAACUUGAGGACGUCGAAACCGUCGUCGUACUGGCACGGAUACCGAUGCUCCGGCGCUAGGCGGUAGUUAACAGAGACGACGACGGCGGGGAGCUCGCGAGCGAGGCGCUGACAGAAGUCGUCUUGAAGCGGCGGACAUGAAGGCGAACCGCUGCCGUGGAAGAAGACAGUGAUGGGGAGCUUGGUGGUAGCAGCGGUGGGAGUGUAGAGGCGGAACCAGAGGUUGCGGAAAGGGUCGGCGACGACGACGACGACGACGACGACG
RNAcentral lists this long non-coding RNA (604 nucleotides) under Rosa chinensis. Its description in RNAcentral is "sRNA RchiOBHm_Chr6g0250231". Lineage: Eukaryota; Viridiplantae; Streptophyta; Magnoliopsida; Rosales; Rosaceae. The record is from RNAcentral.